UUAUCUAAAAAAUAAAAACAGUAAAGAUAUUAUUUUUAAUUUUCGUUUUUUUAAUAAAGAUAGAAAAAUAAAAAUAGAAAGAUAAAAACAGAAAAAUAAAAACGGAAAGAUAAAAACAGAAAGAUACUCCCCUUGCUUGAUAUUCUUUUCUUUUUCUUCUUCUUGCUGAAUUUUUUCAAAAGGUUGAGAACAUCAAUCACCUGUUUCCAAGUCUCAAUCAUAGGAACUUUAAUCUCCAAUUUCUUGAAGAUUUUAAUAAAGCACUUAAACUUCUUUUCUUUCCUAUGAUAUUUCUUUUGAUGAGGAAGAUGUUUUGCAUAUGAUAUUUUCUUCUUUCCCCUCUUCCUCUUUUUCUUAAUCUCCUCCAUCAACUUUCUCUUUUUUUUCUUUUCUUAUUUUCUUCUUUAUUUUUGCAUAUUUUUUAUUUUUUUCUUUUUUCUCAACCACUACUUUUUCCUUAUUAUCAUCUUUGUCCCCCUCACUCAACUUUUCUGUUUUUUCUUCCUUUAUCUUUUCCUCCUCUAUCUUCUCUCCCUUUCUCUCCAUUUUUUCCUCCUCUGUUUUCUCCUCAUCUAUCUCUGUCUUUUCUUCAUAUAUCUUCUCCUUAGCAACAACCUUUUUCUGUUUCUAUCUCUUCUAUCUUUUUCACCUCUCUCUCUAUCUUCUCCUCAUCAACAACAUCAUCAAUUGAUGUCUGCAAAUUCCUGAAGGUGACUUCAUAGCUCUUGGAAUCAUACUUCUCAUAAAAUUUGUCAAACUUUUCUUUAGAGCUUUUGAGUUGUUCCGCCACAUCAGCUACCUGUUGGCCUAGUUGUUGUUCAUACUCCCACAUUUCUAUUGGUGAAAAGUAUUAUUGUUGCCUCUCUUCCAUGCUUCCAUGAGAAGAAAAUCUUGUAUACAUGUCCUGCGGAAAAAAUUCUUCAUUCUUUGUAUUCUCCUCUAUACCUUUGACAUGGUAUACUUCCAAAU
RNAcentral lists this long non-coding RNA (969 nucleotides) under Vigna radiata. RNAcentral's name for it is "long non-coding RNA (VRAD_LNC018486)". Lineage: Eukaryota; Viridiplantae; Streptophyta; Magnoliopsida; Fabales; Fabaceae. The record is from RNAcentral.